CCUGCAGUUUCAUAGAGAGAGACAAUGGAAUAGAGAAGCUCUGGUGUUACUAAGCAGGAAAUGAACGCCUAGAGUUGUCUGCAUCCACACCUCUUUUACCAUUUUCUCAUUCAACCUGGCCAUGAGGAAGAAGCCAAUCUAUAGAAAAGGAAGAGGACAACAGGUAGAACCUGAGCUUGGAGAUAGAGGGAGAUGGCAAAAUGUAAUCACAUUAUCUAAGUCACUGGGCUUCCUGGGCCAGCUUACUACUGGAUUUCUCUGCUGUUUGAACCCAUUGUUCCAGUUUGGCUUAACUCAGCAAUAACUUAGAUGACACACUUUGAAGUAGGAAGCAUUCGAGUUCUUGAAAGAAAAGACAAGAGACCAUGUUGACUUUUCACUGUGAACCAAAAACGCACGUUCUCCAACCAAUGUCAUAUAUGAAAGGGUCACUUGGACACAGAUGUGACUAUGAUCUGAGGUGUCAGUAACUAACUGAAUUGCAUCAGGCAGCAGGAAUAUCCACAAUGUGCGCCUACACAAGACUGAACGACACCACUGUGGCAGCAUCUUUAGGCUCCUGACUCACCAGAUUCUUAUGCCCCGUCUUGGCAAAAACUUGGUGAACUCAUUACCCGCAGACCUGUUCUGUGGAAAAAAUGUUAAAGGAAGUUCUUCAAACAGAAUGUAAUACCAAAUUAAAGAAACUUGGACCUACAUGAAGAAAUGAAGAGUACUGGAAAUGGCAUUAAUGAAGAUGAUGCGCCACAUUGUUCUGAGGCGAAGGUUAUCUUCCCUGCCUGGGACUCCAUCCAGAAACAAAUAAAAGACCAAGGAACCUGAUUAUUUCAUGGUCCGUUUAUAGAAGUUGUUGUGGAUCAGUUUUCCGUCUGUCAGCUACUUUUUCUUUACAGUCCUUCUGUGAACUCACUGCAGGGAUAUAUCCUUCUAGCUCAAGACUUUCAAUAACCUUUAAAACUUUAUUGUUGAAGAGGCACUUGUCUAGGAUGAAGAUGUUCUGUGGGCUUCUUUUUAUAUCAGUGCCAGGUCUAAGGUCAUUAGUGAAACAGUCAAGGAUUUAUUGAGCAGCUACUAUUUGUCAGGUUAUGGCACUGGAUGCUGACAUGUUCUGUUCUCAUUGACUGUACCAUCACGGGGGAAGAUGAUCAAGAACUCUUUACAAAUAAUCAUACCAUCAUUGCUAGUGGAUAAGUGUUACUUCUUGGUGAGCAAGGAAUUCAACUUGUUGCGCAGAGCCUGACAAAGGCUCACAAACCUACACAGUCAUGAUACCUAUGCAGGGUCUCCUACUCCUUUUUCUCAAACGGGCCUGACAGGGGAGGCUGAAGACCAUUUCUUCCUGAGGAGGAGGCAGGGAGAAGAAAUGGCAGCCAUGGCUCCCUAGACUCAAGGAAGAGACGAGGACCAUAGAAUAUCAUAUCACCAAUCAACAAUGAUGGCACCACUCAUGGAAAUUUCACUGUAACAGCUGGUUUGAGUUUGUAGCUGUCAGACUCACGAUGGCUGAGGCUUUCCAGAACUCCAUGCUUCUCCAGAAACUAUCCCUCAGGCAAGUCUUAGGUCCACUUAAACCAAACUUUGGCAAGAGGGAGAAAUCUCACGUUUCCUCAAAGAGAAAAUAAAAUGGCAAGACAUGGGAAUAAAGUCUCCAGCAGCUGGAGCUAGAAAUUGUUCAUAAUUAUGGCGAGAGAUUUGGUGUCAGGAUAAAUCCUAAGCCUGGUUUCCCAAUAUUUGAGGAUGGCAGGAUGUAUCACAGGGUCUUGUAAGAUUCUAUCAGGAGAAAAUAAACAUGUUGCUUUCACUUAUGAAACAAGUAUAUUUUAUAUGUCACUUUAAUAAACCAGAGAAUGAAGUCAUAAAAUCAAUAGUGAUCGGUUACAGAAACACGAGCUGCAUAGUGCUGGUUAGGUGUUUAACAAAAAGAUCAUGUAGACCCAGGCUCAAAGAUCCCCCAGUCAUUGUUUAAGAUGGGUUUCCAUGUUGAGGGCUAAAUAACCAGGAAACAGCAAAUGUAGUGCUCAUUUCAUGUUGAGAUUGCAGCCAAAUGCCAUCGUUACUGUUCUUGGGCCUGACAUACCCAUUAAGGAGAGGUUGUUUAGACCCCAAAUGGUAUGCUAAAUAAAUAAAGCUUAUUGGUGGUGAGGAUGCAGUUUUGAUUGCUCUGAAAAUUAGACAUUUUCACUGAGAAAAUGCUUUUUGUAAUGUGAUACACUCAAUAAUUUUGAUCUAAGAAUCAUUUCAGGAUGGUUGCCUGCUGCUGAGUACACCAAAUAUGCUGACGUUGGUUUGGGUUUUGGUUUUCUAGGAAGUUGUUUUGGCAUCAGGUAGACAUUGGCUAAAACUGUCAACUGGGCAAUAUUCAACAGCAUGGUCAUGUUUAAGAGCUUGGGCUUUGCAGGCUAAUAGAUUUGGGUUUAAAACCCCAGACUCUACUCAUGAGCUAGGGGUCUUCUGGGAAGUUACUAUAAAAGCAACAAUAACAACAUUGUAUUAUGAACAAUUUUAAACAUAGACAAAAUUAGAGAAAAUAACUCAGUGAUCCCCUGUGUACCCAUCACUAGCUUCAAAAAUUGUCAAUAUUUGGAGCAAGUUAUCUAACCAUGUUCUCAUCAGUAAAAUGGAAUUCAUAAUAAUUCUCACAUUCAAGAGUUCAUGUAGUGAUUAUAAAAGCAAUAGUAUAUAUAUAUGACCUUUAAGCACAGAGGCUGGAAUAUAAUAAGUGCUCUCAAAAGUUUAUUCCAUUUUGAACUAGGAAUACCUUUGGUUUAAAGACACAGCAACCUAUGCUGAAUGAAAAGUAGGAUCUUUGUGGUUUUACUGGCCUUUAGAAUUUCACAAAGAAUAUAGCCCCUUAGCAUAAAAUGAUCAGAUCUUAUAUUUAAAAAAUAACCCCCUACAUAGUACAGGGAUCUGAUGCUGAGCUAGCCAAGGCUGUGUCUCAGCAAAAAUUCCAAAUGACCCAUGAAAGGCAAAAAUUUCCUUGAAGAAGAUGAUACUGUUCUCGAAAAAAAAAAAAAAAAUCAUUGCAAUAAAACAAAAAGUUUGUGGCUAGAAAAUCUUACCCCAAUGAAGGAAUACCCUUUCUGCUCAGGUCUGCAGGCUACCAGUGCUAUAGAUGACCUCAGAGUGAAUAGCAGUUCUGCCAUCUGCCAUUCCCUUUUGGCUGUUCUCAGAGGCCUUUAUGGCAGUGAGGGAGAGCAUUCUUUUGGUGCGAGAAAUAGUUACUGCUCUUGGGUUAGACUGAGAAAGUUUUGCUGAGCUUCAGGAUCCAGAGUGAGUAAUUUACAGAAAGCGCUCAAGGGUCUAUUAGACGGGGUUCCCCUGCCAGGAGAGGUGUUGGGGAAGACUAGUUUUCUAGGACGAAAACUGAGCUGCUUUGCCAAGCACACCAAAAAAGGUGGUGCUGGGGGGGAGAAAUGUAGUUUUAACCUUGAUUUGUAGCAAUUAUUAUGACCUUCAAAGAGUCAUUUGUUAGGGCAAAUAAGGAUAUAGAAUUUUAAAAAUCCACAAAUUGGGUUACUUAUUUUGGGGCCAAAGCAAGUUAAUUUUAAAAUGGGAUCAGCACCAUAGAAUAAAUACUUUUAGGUCUUAUCCUGCCAUUUAUACUGGUGUGACCUUAAUCUAUCCUAUCUUCAGUUUCCUUGUCUCAAAAAUUGAGAUUAUAAUAGUCUCCCUACGCUGAGGUUUUUGCCAGGGAGAAAGAGAUAACAUAGGUAAAUACAUGUGCAUUGCUUUUAAAUACUAGGUAAAGACUCAUAUCAUCAUCAUCACAAUCAUCAUCAUGGUCAUCAUUAGUAUUACUAUUUUGGUGAGUUGAUCAAUGAUGCUACUGGAUGGAGAACUUUUUCUGAAUGGCAUUUCUCUUGCUGUUGGCUUGGAUAUAGGCAGGUAAACUCAAUGUGGAAAUUUUUAUGCAGUAAUUAUUUGUUUUUCUUCUACCAAAUUGCAGAGAAUCCAUACAUGUAAGUACUGUCUGCUAACUGAUUCCACCACUGGAGCUCCAUGGAAUCCAUACAAAGCACACCUCUUCUCUUCUCCUUGGCAUCCAAUUUGGUGGCUCUACAUCUGCUUUCAACAAUGAGUCAAGGCUGUAUCUGACAAGAUGGAAGUUCAAAAUCAACAACAAAAUCUAUUUAUUUUGGUUUUGAUCCUAGCCCUGGGCCUUUUACUAAGUAUUCAGAACUGAUUUAAUGAAUGAAAAAAUGAAUGAAUGGUAUACAUUUCCAUUGUCUAUUCUGCUUCUUUUGCCUAGGGAAUUGGGUUAGGCCAUGAUUUCCUUGUUGUUUUUUUCAUGUUUGUUUUAUCUGCACAACCCUAAAUUAAACCGACUAGUUCCAUUCA
This is a non-coding RNA of Macaca mulatta (Rhesus monkey), 4341 nucleotides long. The record is from RefSeq and is a predicted model, not a curated record. NCBI's taxonomy places the organism in Eukaryota, Metazoa, Chordata, Mammalia, Primates, Cercopithecidae.